Molecule: ribosomal RNA, 608 nt
Filed under: Escherichia coli
Lineage: Bacteria; Pseudomonadati; Pseudomonadota; Gammaproteobacteria; Enterobacterales; Enterobacteriaceae
Description: partial 23S ribosomal RNA
Rfam family: Bacterial large subunit ribosomal RNA
Source: RNAcentral
CUUGAAAUACCACCCUUUAAUGUUUGAUGUUCUAACGUUGACCCGUAAUCCGGGUUGCGGACAGUGUCUGGUGGGUAGUUUGACUGGGGCGGUCUCCUCCUAAAGAGUAACGGAGGAGCACGAAGGUUGGCUAAUCCUGGUCGGACAUCAGGAGGUUAGUGCAAUGGCAUAAGCCAGCUUGACUGCGAGCGUGACGGCGCGAGCAGGUGCGAAAGCAGGUCAUAGUGAUCCGGUGGUUCUGAAUGGAAGGGCCAUCGCUCAACGGAUAAAAGGUACUCCGGGGAUAACAGGCUGAUACCGCCCAAGAGUUCAUAUCGACGGCGGUGUUUGGCACCUCGAUGUCGGCUCAUCACAUCCUGGGGCUGAAGUAGGUCCCAAGGGUAUGGCUGUUCGCCAUUUAAAGUGGUACGCGAGCUGGGUUUAGAACGUCGUGAGACAGUUCGGUCCCUAUCUGCCGUGGGCGCUGGAGAACUGAGGGGGGCUGCUCCUAGUACGAGAGGACCGGAGUGGACGCAUCACUGGUGUUCGGGUUGUCAUGCCAAUGGCACUGCCCGGUAGCUAAAUGCGGAAGAGAUAAGUGCUGAAAGCAUCUAAGCACGAAACUUGCC